CCGGCGCACGGGUGCGUAACGCGUAUGCAACCUACCAUCAACAGGGGGAUAACACUGAGAAAUUGGUACUAAUACCCCAUAAUAUCUCAUGCGGCAUCGCAUGGGGUUGAAAACUCCGGUGGUUGAUGAUGGGCAUGCGUUGUAUUAGCUGGGUUGGUGAGGUAACGGCUCACCAAGGCGACGAUACAUAGGGGGACUGAGAGGUUAACCCCCCACAUUGGUACUGAGACACGGACCAAACUCCUACGGAAGGCAGCAG
Molecule: ribosomal RNA, 259 nt
Filed under: uncultured bacterium
Lineage: Bacteria
Description: partial 16S ribosomal RNA
Rfam family: Bacterial small subunit ribosomal RNA
Source: RNAcentral